This 305-nucleotide unclassified non-coding RNA is filed under the name Hevea brasiliensis (rubber tree). The record is from RNAcentral. Lineage: Eukaryota; Viridiplantae; Streptophyta; Magnoliopsida; Malpighiales; Euphorbiaceae.
GGAAACUCAAAUUUAUUUCUUUUUUAAAUUUUUGGCAUCAACUUAGCACAGCCCAUGAAUUCUAUUUAGACACCACGUACGAAAAUUUAUAAGCACCUUCAAAUUAUAUGAAGCUCGCAUCACAAAAUGCAACGAUGACAAUUAAUUUAAUUGCAAAAUCAACAAGUUUUUUUUUUUUUUUUAAAUGCCUCCCUUUCCCUGAGUUGCUCAAAAUUGCAAAUGAACGAAUUAGCUCAGACUACAACUCAAGCAGGUACAAGUUGCAAUUGCCUACAAACACAUAAAAAUUUAUACCUCAGAAAGAG